AUGGCCGGACGUGCCGGUGAUCACAAGCCGGCGCUAGCAGCCACAGGCACACCUGACUUCACACAGAGAAAGAAGCUUCAGCAGCAUCAGGAUCUUCUUGAAUCAGCAGCGAAGUUCCCUAAGCAAGAAAUCAAUGGCUGGGAGCAUCCAGACCUCUGUUCACCAUCAAAGCUGCUCAAGAACGUAAGUACUUCCAUCAGGGAGAUCAGUCGCUGGGCAAGAUCUUCAACGGGGUCAAAGGUGAACUCAGAUAUCCGGCUCUUGGAUUCUGUAUUUUCUUUGAUACAAGUGGUAACUUCGACAGCACCACACCCAGAUCACGUCGUCGCCAUGAUACGAGUCCACGAAGCGCUUGCUAGCCUGUUGUUGGUCCUGCCCAAGAAUAUAUUCCUUUUCCUGUUGCAACAUUUCGCUCAGUUUGGAAACGCACUGCAUAAUUUGCGAAGAAGCAUAAGGAGUGGUCUUCAGGUACUCAAAAACAUGAUCUUGGACUAUACAUCUGACGUAGUCCCCCAAGGUGGUGGUAUCCAUGAGAUCACCAAAUACUUGUUGAAAUACAUCAUUUCACUGCUGGACAAUGGCAGAUCUCUCAAAAUCAUACUUGUCAGCGAUGAACAGGAUGGCAUGGUUGCAAUGGAGACGCUGCAAGAUGUUGUUGCUACCUUGAUCUGUCACUUGGAAAUUAUGCUUCAGAAAGAAUCUCAUCGCUAUAAAGAUGCAGGGUUAAAACAAAUGUUCAUGGUGAAUAACGUGAACUUUGUGCUGCAUCAAGUAGAAGGCUCAGAGACAAGGUAUCUUCUAGGAGAGGAUUGGGUUCUGCAGCACCGAGACCAACUGAAGGACCACAUCUCACGGUUCAUCAACAUUUCUUGGGAAUCCGUCAUGUAUUGCUUCCAUGUAAAGACCAACAAAAUCCCAAUCUUUUCUAGCCUACCAACACUGCAAAUAUUUAACCUGGAAUUUGAGAAAACUUACUGGACUCAGAAGACAUGGAAAGUUGAAAAUCCUCUGCUCCGUUCCAAUAUGCGUAAAUCAGUAUCAGAGAAGCUUGUUCAGGCUUACAGUACAUACCAUGAGAAUCACAAAAACAAAGCCCCAAAGCUUAUGAAGUACACCCCUGAAGAUCUUGAAGAGCUGCUGUCAGAUCUGUGUGAAGGAUAA
RNAcentral lists this ribosomal RNA (1161 nucleotides) under Triticum aestivum (bread wheat). Its description in RNAcentral is "partial small subunit ribosomal RNA". The record is from RNAcentral. Lineage: Eukaryota; Viridiplantae; Streptophyta; Magnoliopsida; Poales; Poaceae.